GAUGAACGCUAGCUACAGGCUUAACACAUGCAAGUCGAGGGGAAACGAUAUUGGAAGCUUGCUUCCGAUAGGCGUCGACCGGCGCACGGGUGAGUAACGCGUAUCCAACCUGCCCACCACUUGGGGAUAACCUUGCGAAAGUAAGACUAAUACCCAAUGAUAUCUCUAGAAGACAUCUGAAGGAGAUUAAAGAUUCAUCGGUGAUGGAUGGGGAUGCGUCUGAUUAGCUUGUUGGCGGGGUAACGGCCCACCAAGGGGACGAUCAGUAGGGGUUCUGAGAGGAAGGUCCCCCACAUUGGGACUGAGACACGGGCCAAACUCCUACGGGAGGCAGCAGUGAGGAAUAUUGGUCAGUGGGCGAGAGCCUGAACCAGCCAAGUAGCGUGCAGGACGACGGCCCUAUGGGUUGUAAACUGCUUUUAUAAGGGAAUAAAGUGAGUCUCGUGAGACUUUUUGCAUGUACCUUAUGAAUAAGGACCGGCUAAUUCCGUGCCAGCCGCCACUGUAA
RNAcentral lists this ribosomal RNA (508 nucleotides) under uncultured bacterium. RNAcentral describes it as "partial 16S ribosomal RNA". It matches the Rfam family "Bacterial small subunit ribosomal RNA", at positions 28 to 523 of the family's 1533-position model. The record is from RNAcentral.